GAUGAACGCUGGCGGCGUGCCUAAUACAUGCAAGUCGAGCGAACAGAUAAGGAGCUUGCUCCUUUGAAGUUAGCGGCGGACGGGUGAGUAACACGUGGGUAACCUACCUAUAAGACUGGGAUAACUUCGGGAAACCGGAGCUAAUACCGGAUAACAUUUAGAACCGCAUGGUUCUAAAGUGAAAGAUGGUUUUGCUAUCACUUAUAGAUGGACCCGCGCCGUAUUAGCUAGUUGGUAAGGUAACGGCUUACCAAGGCGACGAUACGUAGCCGACCUGAGAGGGUGAUCGGCCACACUGGAACUGAGACACGGUCCAGACUCCUACGGGAGGCAGCAGUAGGGAAUCUUCCGCAAUGGGCGAAAGCCUGACGGAGCAACGCCGCGUGAGUGAUGAAGGGUUUCGGCCCGUAAAACUCUGUUAUUAGGGAAGAACAAAUGUGUAAGUAACUGUGCACAUCUUGACGGUACCUAAUCAGAAAGCCACGGCUAACUACGUG
RNAcentral lists this ribosomal RNA (497 nucleotides) under uncultured bacterium. Its description in RNAcentral is "partial 16S ribosomal RNA". It matches the Rfam family "Bacterial small subunit ribosomal RNA", at positions 28 to 507 of the family's 1533-position model. The record is from RNAcentral.